GUCAGCAGUGUGUGGACACUGGAAAAGGCUCCAGAGAGGGCAGAGGAGGGGGAAAAGGUCCCCACAUCAGGGUCAUGGCCAGGUUGUCCUGAUCUGGCCCAGAUCCGUGAGGCUGGAUCCAAAAGGAGAGGCCAGCAUGGGAUGCAGCUGAGCAGGCUGCUGUCCAGUGCCUAAUAGGGCCAGGACACCUCAUCUUACCAGCAGAACAAUUAGCCUUUAUUUUGGUAAGAAUUUAGAAAUGCUGCAUAUUUUGCUUUUGCUUUUCCAGUACCUAAUAUCCCCUGUUUAAUGACAUUCCUUCCAAAAUAAAAGAGUCACAGUGCAGCACAGCGGGUGGCUGGGAGGUAGC
RNAcentral lists this long non-coding RNA (349 nucleotides) under Gallus gallus (chicken). RNAcentral's name for it is "long non-coding RNA NONGGAT008390". Lineage: Eukaryota; Metazoa; Chordata; Aves; Galliformes; Phasianidae. The record is from RNAcentral.